AAUAUGGAACGAUAGGGGCAAGCAUGAUCCACCCAUGCCGGGUGCAGGAAGAGUGCCCGAUAGGUGUAAAAUGGGUUGUUACAGGAUGAAACACGCCCUCGUGAGGGGGCUUGACGGUACUGUGAGAAUAAGGAUCGGCUAACUCCGUGUCAGCAGCCGCGGUAAUACGGAGGAUCCAAGCGUUAUCCGGAAUCUUUGGGUUUAAAGGGUCUGUAGGUGGAUAAUUAAGUCAGAGGUGAAAGUCUGCAGGUCAACUGUAGAAUUGCCUAUUAUACUGGUUAUCUUGAGUCAUUAUGAAGAGGUUAGAAUAUGUAGUGUAGCGGUGAAAUGCAUAGAUAAUACAUAGAAUACCAAUUGCGAAGGCAGAUCACUAAUAAUGUACUCACACUGAUGGACGAAAGCGAGGGGAAAGAACAGGAUUAGAUACCCUGGUAGUCCACGCCGUA
This 446-nucleotide ribosomal RNA is filed under the name uncultured marine bacterium. Its description in RNAcentral is "bacterial SSU rRNA". It matches the Rfam family "Bacterial small subunit ribosomal RNA", at positions 360 to 804 of the family's 1533-position model. The record is from RNAcentral.